CCUACGGGGGGCAGCAGUAGGGAAUAUUGCUCAAUGGGGGAAACCCUGAAGCAGCAACGCCGCGUGGAGGAUGAAGGGUUUCGGAUUGUAAACUUCUUUUGUUAGAGAAGAUAAUGACGGUAUCUAACGAAUAAGCACCGGCUAACUCCGUUCCAGCAGCCGAGGUAACACGGAGGGUGCCAGCGUUACUCGGAAUCACUGGGCGGAAAGAGCGCGUAGGCGGGAUAGCAAGUCAGAUGUGAAAUCCUAUGGCUUAACCAUAGAACUGCAUUUGAAACUGUUAUUCUAGAGUAUGGGAGAGGUAGGUGGAAUUCUUGGUGUAGGGGUAAAAUCCGUAGAGAUCAAGAAGAAUACUCAUUGCGAAGGCGACCUGCUAGAACAUAACUGACGCUGAUGCGCGAAAGCGUGGGGAGCAAACAGGAUUAGAUACCCCGGUAGUC
Molecule: ribosomal RNA, 440 nt
Filed under: uncultured bacterium
Lineage: Bacteria
Description: partial 16S ribosomal RNA
Rfam family: Bacterial small subunit ribosomal RNA
Source: RNAcentral